RNAcentral lists this ribosomal RNA (351 nucleotides) under Triticum aestivum (bread wheat). Its description in RNAcentral is "partial small subunit ribosomal RNA". The record is from RNAcentral. Lineage: Eukaryota; Viridiplantae; Streptophyta; Magnoliopsida; Poales; Poaceae.
AUGAAGACCGUGAUGGUGGCAGUGGUGAAGCAGUCAGACUUGGAGGUGGUUGGAGAAAAGACCACCGUGUCCAUGUUUCGCUCCGGGGCUGAUGGCAUCCAUCAGCGGCGGGCUCCCUGUUCGGGUCAGAACUAUUUUGUGAUACUACAUGAUUCCUCUUAUGGUAACAGCAAGAAGGGAAGUGAUGAUGGUGAGUACAGUAUAUUUAUCCUUGACUCUGACAAUCAGCAAUUGUUAGAAAUGACAUUGGUGCAGCCGGUGACUACCAGGAUUAUCUUUUUCUCUGUUCAAAUUUGUCAUGAUGUCUACAUUCCGCCUCAACCGUUUGCAAUGGGUCAUCUCCAAGCGUGA